This 310-nucleotide ribosomal RNA is filed under the name Campylobacter coli. Its description in RNAcentral is "bacterial SSU rRNA". It matches the Rfam family "Bacterial small subunit ribosomal RNA", at positions 1 to 307 of the family's 1533-position model. The record is from RNAcentral. RNAcentral also lists the same sequence under 4 other names. Lineage: Bacteria; Pseudomonadati; Campylobacterota; Epsilonproteobacteria; Campylobacterales; Campylobacteraceae.
AAAUUGAAGAGUUUGAUCAUGGCUCAGAUUGAACGCUGGCGGCAGGCCUAACACAUGCAAGUCGAACGGUAACAGGAAGCAGCUUGCUGCUUCGCUGACGAGUGGCGGACGGGUGAGUAAUGUCUGGGAAACUGCCUGAUGGAGGGGGAUAACUACUGGAAACGGUGGCUAAUACCGCAUAACGUCGCAAGACCAAAGAGGGGGACCUUCGGGCCUCUUGCCAUCAGAUGUGCCCAGAUGGGAUUAGCUUGUUGGUGAGGUAACGGCUCACCAAGGCGACGAUCCCUAGCUGGUCUGAGAGGAUGACCAG